CCUACGGGUGGCAGCAGUGAGGAAUAUUGGUCAAUGGGCGGAAGCCUGAACCAGCCAAGUAGCGUGCAGGAUGACGGCCCUACGGGUUGUAAACUGCUUUUAUACGGGAAUAACGCGCCUUACGUGUACGUCUUUGCAUGUACCGUAUGAAUAAGGACCGGCUAAUUCCGUGCCAGCAGCCGCGGUAAUACGGAAGUUCCGGGCGUUAUCCGGAUUUAUUGGGUUUAAAGGGUGCGCAGGGGGAAUGUCAAGUCAGCGGUAAAAUUUCGGGGCUCAACCCAGUAGUGCCGUUGAAACUGGCGUUCUUGAGUGAGCGAGAGGUAUGCGGAAUGCGUGGUGUAGCGGUGAAAUGCAUAGAUAUCACGCAGAACUCCGAUUGCGAAGGCAGCAUACCGGCGCUCAACUGACGCUGAUGCACGAAAGCGUGGGUAUCGAACAGGAUUAGAUACCCGGGUAGUC
This 459-nucleotide ribosomal RNA is filed under the name uncultured bacterium. RNAcentral's name for it is "partial 16S ribosomal RNA". It matches the Rfam family "Bacterial small subunit ribosomal RNA", at positions 338 to 795 of the family's 1533-position model. The record is from RNAcentral.